AUGGCCUCCCUCACGAUGCUAUCCUCUUGGGUCAUCUGGAACGAGCGCAACUCAUGGAUGUUUCAGCACAAGUCCAUGCCACCACCAAUUUUGCUCACCAUCAUCAAGGAGAAGGCCGUUCUUUGGAGUAUUGCGGGUGCCAAGCAUUUGGGUAAACUAAUGUCUAGAGAGUGA
Molecule: ribosomal RNA, 174 nt
Filed under: Triticum aestivum (bread wheat)
Lineage: Eukaryota; Viridiplantae; Streptophyta; Magnoliopsida; Poales; Poaceae
Description: partial small subunit ribosomal RNA
Source: RNAcentral